RNAcentral lists this ribosomal RNA (253 nucleotides) under uncultured bacterium. RNAcentral's name for it is "partial 16S ribosomal RNA". It matches the Rfam family "Bacterial small subunit ribosomal RNA", at positions 524 to 776 of the family's 1533-position model. The record is from RNAcentral.
UACAGGGGGGGCAAGCGUUGUUCGGAAUUACUGGGCGUAAAGGGCUCGUAGGCGGCCAACUAAGUCGGACGUGAAAUCCCCAGGCUCAACCUGGGAACUGCGUCCGAUACUGGAUGGCUUGAAUUCGGGAGAGGGAUGCAGAAUUCCAGGUGUAGCGGUGAAAUGCGUAGAUAUCUGGAGGAACACCGGUGGCGAAGGCGGCAUCCUGGACCGGCAUUGACGCUGAGGAGCGAAAGCCAGGGGAGCAAACGGG